UACGGAGGGGGCAAGCGUUGUUCGGAAUCACUGGGCGUAAAGGGUGCGUAGGCGGUCAGUUAAGUCUGGUGUGAAAUCCCUGGGCUCACCCCAGGAAUGGCAUUGGAAACUAGCUGGCUUGAGUGCCGGAGAGGGAAGCGGAAUUCCUGGUGUAGCGGUGAAAUGCGUAGAUACCAGGAGGAACACCGGUGGCGAAGGCGGCUUCCUGGCCGUGCACUGACGCUGAGGCACGAAAGCGUGGGGAGCAAACGGG
This 253-nucleotide unclassified non-coding RNA is filed under the name uncultured bacterium. RNAcentral's name for it is "contains 16S-23S intergenic spacer region". It matches the Rfam family "Bacterial small subunit ribosomal RNA", at positions 524 to 776 of the family's 1533-position model. The record is from RNAcentral.